This 212-nucleotide long non-coding RNA is filed under the name Hordeum vulgare. Its description in RNAcentral is "long non-coding RNA (HVUL_LNC009849)". Lineage: Eukaryota; Viridiplantae; Streptophyta; Magnoliopsida; Poales; Poaceae. The record is from RNAcentral.
UUUUUUACUUUUCAUGUUUACAGUACCAAAUGAGGUCCAAUUGCCCCGGAAGAUUAUAUGAUUUUUUUCUGGACCAAAAGAAAACAUGGAAGCCUCGGAAGAAGGCCCGAGGCCACACGAGGGAGGCACCCUGAUGGCUUGUCCCUCCCUGGUCGCCCUAAUACCCCAAUUCUGCCGCCUAUAAAUUCACAUAUAUUCCAAAGACCUUAAAG